GAAAAACAAAAUUUUCUAUGGCCGCCAUCUUGUUUUUCCGCCAUUUUGUUUUUUUUUUACCCACGAUAGAAUUUGACCAAGGUUCAAAUAGGUUUUGUGAAAAAAGAAUGGUUCCAGGUGCGAUAGUUUCGCCAGGCCGUAGGGUGUCUCCCUAAUGCGGAGCAGAUUUUAAAAAUCGAGAAGUAUUUUUAUACUCGACAUGACGUUCCGAUUACAACUCUAUACAUCAUUUUUACCCCCGAGGCAUUUUCAGGAAAAUUGAAAAAUUUGUAUGGCGGCCAUCUUGUUUUUCCGCCAUUUUGAUUUUUUAUCACCAGCGAUUGAAUUUGACCAAGAAUUAAGUAGGUUUAGUGGAAAAAAAAAUGUUCUAUGUUUGAUAGUUUAGCCAGGCCGUAGGGUGUCUCCCUGAUGCGGAGCAGCUAUCGAAAACCCAGACGUAUUUUCAUACUCGACACGACGUUCCGAUCACAUUCCUAUACGUCAUUUUUACCCCCGAGGCAUUUUCAGGAAAAACGAAAAAUUUGUAUGGCGGCCAUCUUGAUUUUCCGCCAUUUUGAUUUUUUUUCACUCAUGAUAGAAUUUGACCAAGAUUUAAAUAUGUUUCGCGAAAGAAAAAUUGCUCCAGGUUUUAUAGUUUUGCCAGGCCGUAGGGUGUCUCCCUGAUGCGGAGCAGUUUUUCAAGAUCGAGAAGUAUUUCCAUACUCAACAAUACGUUCCGAUUACACCCCCAUACACAGUUUUUACCCACGAGACAUUUUCUGGAAAAAUAAAAUUUUGUAUGGCGGCCAUCUUGUUUUUCCGCCAUUUUGAUUUUUUUUCACCGGCGAUUGAAUUUGACCAAGAUUUAAAUAGGUUUUGCGAAAAAAAAAUUGAUCCAGGUAUAAUAGUUGCGCCAGACUGUAGGGUGUCUCCCUGAUGCGGAGCAGUUUUCCAAGAUCUGGAAGUUUUCCCAUACUCACCGGGAGGUCCCGAUCACACCCCCCAUACAUCAUUUUUACCCCCCGACGCUCCUUCUGGGAGAACAACCCUGUCAGUGAGUCAGUGAGUCAGUGAGUCAGUCAGUACAUGGGUUUGUAGCUAUAUAUAAUAUAAUAAUAACUAGAUGUCGCGUGGUUCGCUCGCAGCAAGCUGCUCGCGUGUCUUGUUUUCCCGCCAUUUUUUUACCGCGAUAGAAUUUGACCAAGACUAAAAUAGGUCUCGUGAAAUCAAAAAAGUUCUAGGUGCUAUAGUUUUGCCAGGCUGUAGGGUGUCUCCCUGAUGCGGAGCAGUUUUCCAAGAUGACGUUCCUAUAACACCCCUAUACAUCGUUUUUACACCCGAGACAUUUUCUGGACAAACAAAAAUUUGUAUGGCGGCCAUCUUUUUUUUCGGCCAUUUUGUUUUU
Molecule: long non-coding RNA, 1384 nt
Organism: Pectinophora gossypiella (pink bollworm)
Lineage: Eukaryota; Metazoa; Arthropoda; Insecta; Lepidoptera; Gelechiidae
Exons: 3
Source: RefSeq, a predicted model, not a curated record